Molecule: ribosomal RNA, 1774 nt
Filed under: human gut metagenome
Description: bacterial LSU rRNA
Rfam family: Bacterial large subunit ribosomal RNA
Source: RNAcentral
AGGAUGUGACAAUGCUAAGACAACUAGGAUGUUGGCUUAGAAGCAGCCACUCAUUCAAAGAGUGCGUAAUAGCUCACUAGUCGAGUGAUGUUGCGCGGAAAAUUCAACGGGGCUAAGCAUACAACCGAAGCUUGGGCAGUAGUGAUACUGGGUAGGGGAGCGUUCUGUACGGGCAGAAGCAUCAGCGGAAGCAGGUGUGGACUGUACAGAAGUGAGAAUGCCGGAAUGAGUAGCGAGAAUUGUGUGAGAAUCAUAAUGGCCGAAAAUCUAAGGUUUCCGGGGGUAGGGUCGUCCACCCCGGGUUAGCCGGGAGCUAAGGCGAGGCCGCGAGGCGUAGUCGAUGCACAAACGGUAGAGAUUCCGUUGCCGCCAGAUCUUAAGUAACUGACACGAGGGUAGAGUUCAACCCGGCCGAUGGUAGAGCCGGGCGAAAGGGACUGAAGAAUAGUAGGGAAGUGAACGAAGCCAGCGGCGAGAAAAGGUUAUGUAUGAAAUCAGGCGCCCGUACCGCAAACCGACACAGGUAGAUGAGGAGAGGAUCCUAAGGCCAGCGGGAGAAGGGUUGUUAAGGAACUCGGCAUAUUGACCCCGUAACUUCGGAAGAAGGGGUGCCUCCGUAAGGAGGCCGCAGUGAAAAGGCCCAGGCAACUGUUUAUCAAAAACACAGGUUUCUGCAAAAGCGAAAGCUGAAGUAUAGGAGCUGACGCCUGCCCGGUGCUGGAAGGUCAAGGGGAUCGCUUAGCGCAAGCGAAGGCGAGAACUUAAGCCCCAGUAAACGGCGGCCGUAACUAUAACGGUCCUAAGGUAGCGAAAUUCCUUGUCAGGUAAGUUCUGACCCGCAUGAAAGGCGUAAUGAUCUGGGCACUGUCUCAACAGCCCGCCCGGCGAAAUUGUAGUACCGGUGAAGAUGCCGGUUUCCUGCGACUAGACGGAAAGACCCCAUGGAGCUUUACUGUAGUCUGAUACUGAAAUUUGGUUCAUUAUGCACAGGAUAGGUGGGAGACAGAGAAACCCGGGCUUUGGCUUGGGCGGAGUCGCCGUUGGGAUACCACUCUUGAUGAACCAAGUUUCUAACCUGCUCCCGUGAUCCGGGAGGGGGACAAUGUCAGAUGGGCAGUUUGACUGGGGCGGUCGCCUCCAAAAGAGUAACGGAGGCGUUCAAAGGUUGGCUCAGCGCGGACGGAAAUCGCGCAAUGAGUAUAAACGUAUAAGCCAGCCUAACUGUGAGACCUACAAGUCGAGCAGUAACGAAAGUUGGAGUUAGUGAUCAGGUGGUAGUGAGUGGAAAUGCCAUCGCUUAACGGAUAAAAGCUACCCUGGGGAUAACAGGCUGAUCUCCCCCAAGAGUUCACAUCGACGGGGAGGUUUGGCACCUCGAUGUCGGCUCAUCACAUCCUGGAGCUGGAGAAGGUUCCAAGGGUUCGGCUGUCCGCCGAUUAAAGUGGUACGCGAGCUGGGUUCAGAACGUCGUGAGACAGUUCGGUCCCUAUCUGUCGUGGGCGUUGGAUAUUUGAGAAGGGCUGACCUUAGUACGAGAGGACCGGGUCGGACGCACCUCCUGUGCACCAGUUGUCCUGCCAAGGGCAUAGCUGGGUAGCGGCGUGCGGUUUUGAUAAACGCUGAAGGCAUCUAAGCGUGAAGCAUGCUUCAAGAUGAGAUAUCCCAUCAUUUCAAAUGAGUAAGGUCACUUGCAGACUACAAGUUGAUAGGUCGGGUGUGUAAGCACGGUAACGUGUUCAGCUAACCGAUACUAAUUGACCGAGGGCUUGAACCU